CCAGUAUGGGAACUCCUCAAACUUGAAGCAGCAGCUGUGAAGGUCAGGAAGAUGAAUUAACUUCCUUGUCAAGACUAGAGUUAUUGGAUGUUCUCUUUUUAUUAAUAUUAUUGCUUUUAUUUGUCCUAAAUUUCCCAGGCAUCUGAGACAAACAAUGUGCCUAUGCCAUGGAUUUGAAUAUUAAAGGGUUCCUUCUGUAUUGGAAUAGUAACUGGAAGAACAACCAAAUUCCUAUCGAAUGUGGACACACAGAGAGAAACAGCCAUAUCUCUCUGUGCAUGCCUGGGUAGCAGCCUUGCGGUGCUGUGCUGCCAGCUCACAUCUGGAGUAGUUCAUCACUGCCGAACAGAUGUUGGUGUGAAUUGGGUCAUCGUAGCAGCAGAGCAUGCACACAUUUCUUUGGUCUUGCAGUGACAGCCAUUACAUUUUCUUCAUGCUAAUUUUGACAGUGACACCCUGCUCUGAAAUAUGAAUGCAUUCAUUGCAGUGAGGUUUGGAAUCAAGGGGUAAAAAUCAGACUAGCUCUGGAGGAUUUACAAAAGGCUACCUUCUUGUUCACAUCAUCCUCUUGAAUUUCAGGUGUGGAAUAGAGCAAAGCAAGUGUAAGGAGAUGUGGGUUCUAAUGUAGACAUUGUUGAGACUUCCUGGUUAUAGAUAGCAGGAAGGGUGCUAAUUCAUAGGGGAAUACCAGUUCUCUGAAAGAAGUCACUCUUGUAAGAAAAAUGGACAGCAGGAGGCCACUGAGCAGUGACAUUCAAUGAGUCCUUGUCACCAGCAGUCAUUAGCAUGCAAGCCUGCUGUUAGUUUUCUGUGUUUUAUGUUAUGGUCUUGACCAAGCAGGAGCUCCCGGAACAAGAACAGCAGUUAAUAUCACACACAAGUUAUUAUUUCUUUCUGGGAUGCCUUAUAUUUUUAGUGCCAGUGAGAUCCUUCUCUUGUCCCUGUGUGCCUCUAAAAAUUUAAAGAGAAUCAAAGAAUGCAUAAUUUACAUCUGUCCCAGAGGUAACAGAGUGACUCAAUGGUAUCCAUGAAGGAAUGAUUUUAAAUUUCUUGUCUUAUGCAAGAGGUGAUUUUUAUGUGAAAACUGCAAGAACUGGCCUCAGGGAUCUUUUGGUAAUUAUCCCUCUAACAGCAGAGCGAGGUUCCAGCGGGAUUAUUGCUGAAAGCAGUAGUGGAUCAGCUAUGCCCUUGUGAAUCAUGGUGAAUCAUGGUUGCCACAACGGAGCACAUAGCAACGGAUGCCCUGCACAGAGCACUUCUCCCUUUAACACUCCUGAGAGCCCCAGUGGCGCCUGUGUGUCCCAAAUGGCAGGGCACUCAAUGAUGAAGCCAGUGAAUCUGUUAGUCCUUGAGCCAUGGGUGUCAUGACUCCCCUCUGCUGCUUGCAUUGUGCCGGAGACUCCUCACCCAAACCCCUGGGUAUAUGGGAUGCUGGAUUUGGAAAGGCCUUACUGCUUCCAAGAGAAGAGAUGAUGGAAUUAUAUGCUGUUAUUAGCUUUCUUAAAAAAAAUAUGUGUGCUUUGUUCUUUGAGCCAAUCUAGUCUUUUAGCAAGUGCUUUUAAGCAUUCCAUGGCAAUUGUUUUGUUCUCUGAAAAUAUUAAGUGCCAAGGAACAAAACCAUAUAGGCUAGUGGGGGACAGGACUAAGUGGCAAAGGGCUAGUAGACCUGGGAAGAAGUACAUUUGAGCUGGAUUUCUCUGCUGCCUCUUGUUUAUCAGUGUGCAUUGCAUACAUGUGGACCCGUGCACUUUUGUUUCCGUAUGGCAGUCUUUAUUUCUCAUCAGAGAAGGCUCUUUUUAAGCCUGUCAUCGCACAGUACGUGGAGUGCUUUCAGGGCCCUCUGUUCUCUUUUCCCCUGGGAUGAGUCUCCCCCCACCUUCCUCUCCCCAGUAUGCCUGUGUGCACAAAGCAAAGGCCGAUUGAGAGAUUCGCCACUGCAAACUCUUCAUCUCCCAAGCAAGGACUGGAG
This 1969-nucleotide long non-coding RNA is filed under the name Cricetulus griseus (Chinese hamster). Its description in RNAcentral is "lncRNA (ENSCGRG00015036442.1)". Lineage: Eukaryota; Metazoa; Chordata; Mammalia; Rodentia; Cricetidae. The record is from RNAcentral.